Molecule: unclassified non-coding RNA, 240 nt
Filed under: soil metagenome
Description: partial contains 5.8S ribosomal RNA, internal transcribed spacer 2, and large subunit ribosomal RNA
Source: RNAcentral
AACGCACGAGACCUGCGGACCUGCGGAGGGAUCAUUAUUGAAAGCUUUUGGGAGAUACUGUUGCUGGCUUUUAAACAAGGCAUGUGCACGUAUUUCUUAAAUCUAUUCAUCCACCUGUGCAUCUUUUGUAGAAUGUCUCUUUUCAGAUCGGAUUUCUUUUUGCAGGUGUCUUUAGGGACUCUGUGAGGGAAUAAUGAUUUUGGAUAGAGCUUCUAUGUUUUACAAACAAGUUAAGCAUGU